AACUUAACAAAUAAAGCAUAUAUAAACAGAACCUAUACCGAAAAAAAGAAAGAAAGAAGAUAUGAAUGACAAAAGGAAGAAAGUAUACAGAAACACAAUUUUGAGACAAAAAAUAAACAAUAUGUGCAGCUUCUUGACAUAAACCAAAGAGCCUUUCACUCUUCUUGACACGAACCAGUGGCACCCAAACUCCAACCUGCACUAACAACCCAGAUUUUCAACCCCAAUCAUCACCAUCCACCACAAGGCCUUUCCUACUGAGUAAUCAGAAGCCCCUACGGCGCUUCAAGAAGCAGAACCCCCAAAUCCAUUUCCCCAUCCACCUGUAGAGAAGCAGAACCAAAAACCCAAGGAAGAGAAACGCAAACCCAAUACCUAACCACCAUCACGCUGCCGCCGCCGCGUCCUCGCCACUCCAUGAGAAAAGAGUUUUCGCCAUCAUAGCCACUAUUGUUGCUCUCUCAUCGCACCGUCGUGCACUCUCACCGCCAUCACAGCCACCAUCGCAGCAUCGUCGUUGCUCUCUUGUUGCACCAUCGCGCGCUCUCACCGCCAUCGCAGCCACCAUCGCAGCAUCGUUGUUGCUCUCUCGUUGCACCUUCGCGCGCUCUAACCGCCAUCGCAACCACCAUCACAGCACCGUCGCUGCUCUCUCGUCGCACUGUCGCGCGCUCCCACCGCCAUCGCACAUCUUCGAGAAAAAGAAGAAUAAGAGAGGUGCUAGGAUUUUUGGGGGAAAAGGAGAAGAGAAGAGGCUAGGUUUUUUGGUGUCUUAGGUUUUCUGGCUUUAAGACGGGCCAAGCCCAAGAGACUUAUAUGCCUCGGUCCAUGCCAACCGAGACAGUAAGAGGCUUAUAUGCCUCGGUCCAUCUGUCAACCGAGACAAUAUCUUUGACACGUGAGGUUUAUGCCUCGGUUCACCUUGCCAACCGAGGCAGUGUACACUUUAGACACUGGUUGCUUAACAACCGAAGCAUAUAUUAA
RNAcentral lists this long non-coding RNA (984 nucleotides) under Vigna radiata. RNAcentral describes it as "long non-coding RNA (VRAD_LNC018416)". Lineage: Eukaryota; Viridiplantae; Streptophyta; Magnoliopsida; Fabales; Fabaceae. The record is from RNAcentral.